Taeniopygia guttata (zebra finch) is the source of this 4290-nucleotide non-coding RNA. Lineage: Eukaryota; Metazoa; Chordata; Aves; Passeriformes; Estrildidae. The record is from RefSeq and is a predicted model, not a curated record.
CAAACAGCCCUUUGUUUGUCCUGACUUCUGCCUGUGAGUGAUCUGCGCUGUUCUCCAGCAGUGGGUCAGAGGGUGGGCUUCAGGAGCCUCCUCUUUGCUCACUGCCAGCCUAGUCUUGGGGCAUAAAUUUAACAUAUCCCUUCCAGCAGGAAACAAUUAGUCCAUCCAGGAUCUGAUACAAAGGUGUCUCCUCAAAGAGCAAAGCAUAACAUCCAGAACAAGAGGGGAAACGUGAAGGAGAAGUUUUCUGGGGUUGCACAGCCAGAAAAACAUGAUUUCUAUACAGGUGCUUUAUUUUGCAUUUGGUGGACAAGAGCAAGCCAACUCAACAAUCUCUGUAGUACUUUAAAUUUUUGACUUUGGGAUCCUUUCAAGUUUUCUGAAACUGACAUAAUAAAAAAACCUUCUUAAUUAUUUUAACCUGAUUUCUAGUACAGCAUGCUCAAUGAUGCCAUGUAUCAAGUUCUUUACUAAACAGUGUUUAAUCAAGAGGUAAAACAUUAAAUUGAAGAGUAUUUCAGAGGAAGUUAGUUUAGACUAAUUCCAGAUUAAUCAAACAAUCUGGUGCCAUAAAAACACGAAGGAUCUUAAAUGGAAUUGAAAUAUUAUGUCCUAAUGAGAAAAUAGUCUUGAGGGUGAAGCAUGUGUCCUCAUAUUUCUCUUGCAAUUUGUCUCUUCUUCUACUGCAGCCAUCCUGGACCUAUUUUGCAACGGGAAUAGACAACGAUGAAUGUUGAGCUGUAAUUUUUACAUUUUUCUUGUGUGUGUUGUUUUGAUUCUGGUGUUCUGUUUCAAGAGUUUAGUUUUCUCUGUCUAUAGGGCUGCUUCCAGAAGAGAGGUUUGUUAGGAGUACAAAAAGGUGCCCCGGCUCAGCUGGUUCAAUUUACAAUUUGAUGCCUUGGUGCUUGUUCAGUUUGAUUUAUUGUAUGCCAGCAGUGAGCUCGGGCCUCUAUGUAAGAAGUGCAUAUCCCAUGUUCUGCUGCCUCAGCAGAGAGAGCGGUAAAUGGUAAAUGGCACAGUUGUUUAGAAGCAAAUCUUUGGAAACUGAGCCUACCUACUCAUGGUAGUCCCAUCCAGCAGGGUGCUCCCCCAUCUCUGCUGGAGGUGGGCAGCUGGGAUGGAGAGAACAGGAUGGCUGUACCUCUGCCUCUAAUUCUGGUUGGAAAUGUGAGGAAGAACAUAUUUUGCCACUGUGGUUGCACACACGUAGCAAAUUAAAAGGGGAAGGAGGAGAUAGCUGCAAGUAGUGGCUGUGAGAACAGGACAGCCUUGCCUUUUCAGGGUGACAGAAUGCCUGCUGCUCCCUCUGCCUUGCUAUGGAAAUUCUUCCCUGGUGCAGAGCACGGCCCCAGUGCCCCGUGCCUUAGAUGAGAUUAUCGUAAUGCCUCUGGGAGUACGCCGUGUUCCAGGGCAGCCUUCUCCAUGGGAGCAGGGAUGUGAGCUGUGAGCCUGCUGUGCCUCUGCAGCAGCAGGGGACUGGCUAUAUAUAAGCAGGGAUAAAACUUGAAGAAGGGAGCAAGAGCACAGUGUGCUACAACUCUGGAUUUGAAUGCCUUUUUAGUUACUUGCAAAUAAAUUUUGGUCUGAAUAAUUUAAAGAUUUAAUCAGAAGGUGUAAUAAGUAUAUUAGGAUUAUUACCUUGCUUUCUUUUUAAGUUUUCAUGUGUUUUCCAGGGAACAUAAGUGUUUUCAGAACACAUUUUCAGAGCCCAGUCUGGACAGCAGUCCAGUGAGCUGGUAGUUUUGUAUAUAAAGUGGAGUAUGUGAGGGAUAGUUUUCUCCAGGAAAUUUCAUGCUGCAUUUUGAGAAAGGACAGUUCUAACAAAGUUGGUGUUUGGCUGUUCCAUGUACAAUGUUUUCAGUCAAUGAAAACUUUCAGGAACAAGACGAAGUUUUCUCCCUUGUGAUGCUGCUACAGAGUAGAGACUGAAAAGCAAAGUGGGAUUUGGAGGAAGCAAAAGUUUUGAGGAAUUUCAUCAGCGAAAUGCAACCCAAAAGGAAGUCACUAUGGCUUCUGUAAAACAGCCUUUUAAGGAGUUAAAAGUGAGAUAUGGGAAAUGAAUGGAAGGGCUGGGGAGCCUUCACUGAGAGAAAGUAAAGUGCACAGCAGGGCUUCCAGAUCUUACCUUCUUUCCCUUUCUCCACUUUGCCCCUGACCCAUUACCCUGAAUAUCUGUUUCUCUACUGAGCCUGUCUCGCUCCUUGUCUCCAGCCCUGAUGGCCUUUUCUCCAUUUUCAGUUUCCUUGAGCCUUUCUGCUCCAGCACUGAUCCCCAGUGGGCUCAGCAGCAGCGUCUGGCACAGGCUGGCAGGGUGCCAGCUGUGACAGAGGGCUUUUGAAAAUUGCAGGAGCCUUUUUGUUCCCUACCAUGGCAUCUGGGAUCCACAGGAGAACCAUAAGGACAUCCUGCUUUUUCACCCUCCUUCAUCUGUGCAGAGAGAGUAACCCUGAACAGUGUUUGACUCGUUUUAUUUAGAGACACUCUUUCAGAUGUGCACAUAUCCCUGUUUCUGUCUGAAGAGGUAUGGCAUUGUUAGAGGUAGGAUGCAAAGUACAGAUCCUUUGGGUUUUUUUUCCUCUUCCCCAGGCUGAAGUCAGGGAGAAGUGAUGGCCCAUGAGGAGGCAGUGGCAGAUGGAGGCAGGAGGGGGUGUGACAAGGUAGCAGCAGCAAUCUGUAAGAGAGAAGUAGUUUUCAAAAGAGAAUGGCCCCUGGUAGGGUGAGAUGGAAGAAAGAAAAGGCAGCAUUAAAAUUCAGCUGCAAAAGCAUGACUGUCUCUGACAUAUAGCAUUAUUCUAGACUAAAUUUGUGUAACAUGCCCUGGGAAAAUGAAUUUUUUUUCUUUUUUUUUUCUUUUUUUUUUUAAGUACACAAUGCACUCUAAAAUGUGCUUUGCAUUUUUAACGUGAGCUACACAGGUUUAGCUUUUUGCUGUCAAUGAAAACCACUUUGCAUCUUAUUUGUAUCCUUGAUACCAACACUAAGCUCUUUUCAGGCUGACAGUGAGAAAUAGCGAUGCAUCUCCACUCACAGUAAUUCUCCUUAAAAGAUACCACUUUACCUUUGAGUUAACUGGCUCAUUCAUACAUAGAGCUCAUAUGAGGAGAUCUAUAAGGAGCUUCAGAACCUGAUUUUGGCAGAUGAUGCAGUCUAAAACUGUACUUGAAGGUUAUAAAGGAAUGUAAGUAUUGUAGGGAUGCAUAAAGACCUUGGAGACAUAAUGCCAGUAGUAAUGACAGAGCCAGCAGAGCUGAUAUUAAAUGCUGUCAUCAUUUUUUGCACGACCACAGUGGGUAGGGGACCUGGGAUACAAUCAUCAGCACAAUGGGCUUUUAAGCAAAGUUAAAAGUCAUAUGUGCUCAUUUUGCAGAUAUACAUAAGUGUAAAACAAAUAUAUCUCAUUUUAUACCCCUCAUGUUACAUUUUUCAUCACUCAGAUUUUAUUAUAUAAGUCAGAAAAAGUAUUUAGAAGCAGUUUUUGUGCUUUUAUUUUGUGUAAUUUUAAUUCUUUUUCAUUUGUUCUCUUGAUUUUUUUCUUUUUUUUUUUUUAAGAAUAUGUGCUGUUAAAUACUCUACAAUUGCCUUUGCAAUUCUUGCAUCUGAUAAUUUGUUUUAUACCUUGUACUGGCAUUAGCCUGGGGGAUUCAUUUGAGUUUUCUGGAACACUGUUAUUUUUUGUUCUGUACAGUAAUUCUUGUUCAUCCAGCAUUUCUUCUAUUUCUUGCCUUUGUUUUUGGGCACUGCUUUACUUCCAGCUGCUGUUUUCUGCAAAACCCCUCUGUUUCCUCUCUCUGUGAUUUUUUGUUUUACUGUCAGUUUUCACAACUUUUUUUCUGCGGGUUGCAAUCUGUGCUUGGUUAAAAUAGGCAACCCAAAGUACUGGGCUAAUCAAAGGCAUCUUUUCGUGUAUUUCCUCAGAUCAAUGGCCUGUUGGCAUACUCAGGCUGUUGCUGUUUUUUUUCUGAAGGCAGAGAGGAUGCAGUAUACCCAGAACCUGCUGAUGUUACGAACUAUUAGUUCCAGUCAGGCCAAAUGAAUCAAUGUUUUAAGUGUGUAUAUACAAAGUUUGGUGUCUCUAGCUGGAUGCUCUAGUCUGAAUGUGUUACUGAAAAAUUAUUUUUAAUUAAGAAACUAUGCCCAGCCAUCACAGAUAUUGCUAGUCUGAUACCUAGAAAUCCAUGCCUGCUCUGAUUCCCUAAUGAUUCAGGAUGUUACUGGCUUUAUCGCCUGAGCUAGUUUCUGUCUAGUUAAAGAAAAUAAAACUGAAAAUAAAAACAAAACAUGCAAACUUAA